AGCCCCCUAACUAAUUAAAAUACAAAACAAUCCCCUAUGUAUUGGAUCUUUGACAGUUUUAGCUCCCAAGACCACUUUUGAUUUAGUCUUUGUUGACGUGGCACCCACAAUGGUCGAAACGUGAUACCUCGCUUAAGGGAUGUGGGUGCCACGUCAGCGAAGAUUAAGUCAAAAGUGGUUUUGGAGGCCAAAACUGCCAAAGAUCCAAUACAUAGGAGGCUGUUUUGUAUUUUAAUUUGUUAGGAUGUC
Molecule: microRNA precursor, 249 nt
Filed under: Medicago truncatula (barrel medic)
Lineage: Eukaryota; Viridiplantae; Streptophyta; Magnoliopsida; Fabales; Fabaceae
Description: miR2619 stem-loop (mtr-MIR2619a)
Rfam family: MIR2619 microRNA precursor family (bases 25-225)
Source: miRBase by way of RNAcentral